This 460-nucleotide ribosomal RNA is filed under the name uncultured bacterium. Its description in RNAcentral is "partial 16S ribosomal RNA". It matches the Rfam family "Bacterial small subunit ribosomal RNA", at positions 338 to 795 of the family's 1533-position model. The record is from RNAcentral.
CCUACGGGCGGCAGCAGUGAGGAAUAUUGGUCAAUGGACGCAAGUCUGAACCAGCCAUGCCGCGUGCAGGAAGACGGCUCUAUGAGUUGUAAACUGCUUUUGUACGAGGGUAAAUCCCGAUACGUGUAUCGGGUUGAAAGUAUCGUACGAAUAAGGAUCGGCUAACUCCGUGCCAGCAGCCGCGGUAAUACGGAGGAUUCAAGCGUUAGCCGGAUUUAUUGGGUUUAAAGGGUGCGUAGGCGGUUCGAUAAGUUAGAGGUGAAAUUCCGGGGCUCAACUCCGGCACUGCCUCUGAUACUGUCAGGCUAGAGUUUAGUUGCGGUAGGCGGAAUGUAUGGUGUAGCGGUGAAAUGCAUAGAGAUCAUACAGAACACCGAUUGCGAAGGCAGCUUACCAAACUACGACUGACGUUGAGGCACGAAAGCGUGGGGAGCAAACAGGAUUAGAUACCCCAGUAGUC